UACGUAGGGUGCAAGCGUUAUCCGGAUUUACUGGGUGUAAAGGGGGCGCAGACGGCGAUGCAAGCCAGGAGUGAAAGCCCGGGGCCCAACCCCGGGACUGCUCUUGGAACUGCGUGGCUGGAGUGCAGGAGGGGCAGGCGGAAUUCCUGGUGUAACGGUGAAAUGCGUAGAUAUCAGGAGGAACACCGGUGGCGAAGGCGGCCUGCUGGACUGCAACUGACGUUGAGGCCCGAAAGCGUGGGGAGCAAACAGG
Molecule: ribosomal RNA, 253 nt
Filed under: uncultured bacterium
Lineage: Bacteria
Description: partial 16S ribosomal RNA
Rfam family: Bacterial small subunit ribosomal RNA
Source: RNAcentral